AGAGUUUGAUCCUGGCUCAGGACGAACGCUGGCGGCGCGCCUAACACAUGCAAGUCGAACGGAGCUUAGAGAGCUUGCUUUUUAAGCUUAGUGGCGAGCGGGUGAGUAACGCGUGAGUAACCUGCCCUAGAGUGGGGGACAACAGUUGGAAACGACUGCUAAUACCGCAUAAGCCCACGGUACCGCAUGGUACUGAGGGAAAAGGAUUUAUUCGCUUUAGGAUGGACUCGCGUCCAAUUAGCUAGUUGGUGAGGUAAUGGCCCACCAAGGCAACGAUCGGUAGUCGGACUGAGAGGUUGAACGGCCACAUUGGGACUGAGACACGGCCCAGACUCCUACGGGAGGCAGCAGUGGGGAAUAUUGCACAAUGGGGGAAACCCUGAUGCAGCGACGCCGCGUGGAGGAAGAAGGUCUUCGGAUUGUAAACUCCUGUUGUUGAGGAAGAUAAUGACGGUACUCAACAAGGAAGUGACGGCUAACUACGUGCCAGCAGCCGCGGUAAAACGUAGGUCACAAGCGUUGUCCGGAAUUACUGGGUGUAAAGGGAGCGCAGGCGGGAAGACAAGUUGGAAGUGAAAUCUAUGGGCUCAACCCAUAAACUGCUUUCAAAACUGUUUUUCUUGAGUAGUGCAGAGGUAGGCGGAAUUCCCGGUGUAGCGGUGGAAUGCGUAGAUAUCGGGAGGAACACCAGUGGCGAAGGCGGCCUACUGGGCACCAACUGACGCUGAGGCUCGAAAGUGUGGGUAGCAAACAGGAUUAGAUACCCUGGUAGUCCACACCGUAAACGAUGAUUACUAGGUGUUGGAGGAUUGACCCCUUCAGUGCCGCAGUUAACACAAUAAGUAAUCCACCUGGGGAGUACGACCGCAAGGUUGAAACUCAAAGGAAUUGACGGGGGCCCGCACAAGCAGUGGAGUAUGUGGUUUAAUUCGACGCAACGCGAAGAACCUUACCAAGUCUUGACAUCCUGCGACGAUGCUGGAAACAGUAUUUUCCUUCGGGACGCAGAGACAGGUGGUGCAUGGUUGUCGUCAGCUCGUGUCGUGAGAUGUUGGGUUAAGUCCCGCAACGAGCGCAACCCUUACUGUCAGUUACUACGCAAGAGGACUCUGGCAGGACUGCCGUUGACAAAACGGAGGAAGGUGGGGAUGACGUCAAAUCAUCAUGCCCUUUAUGACUUGGGCUACACACGUACUACAAUGGCGUUAAACAAAGAGAAGCAAGACCGCGAGGUGGAGCAAAACUCAGAAACAACGUCCCAGUUCGGACUGCAGGCUGCAACUCGCCUGCACGAAGUCGGAAUUGCUAGUAAUCGUGGAUCAGCAUGCCACGGUGAAUACGCUCCCGGGCCUUGCACUCACCGCCCGUCA
This 1370-nucleotide ribosomal RNA is filed under the name uncultured bacterium. Its description in RNAcentral is "bacterial SSU rRNA". It matches the Rfam family "Bacterial small subunit ribosomal RNA". The record is from RNAcentral.